This is a long non-coding RNA of Vidua chalybeata, 231 nucleotides long. RefSeq lists it as uncharacterized. The transcript is spliced from 3 exons. NCBI's taxonomy places the organism in Eukaryota, Metazoa, Chordata, Aves, Passeriformes, Viduidae. The record is from RefSeq and is a predicted model, not a curated record.
GUUGCCUGGAAGCUGCAAGGGUCCAGAGUACAACGAUGCCUCCUAGAACAGUGUGGAAGCCUCAGCAGCAGAACACAUGUACCUCAUGGUAAGAUUCAAUAAGGGAGAGAUGCUGCACAGCCCACAUGGGAAUGCUGUCCUGCCUAGAAAGGCCAGUUUUUCUCCUCCAGACUGCUUCAUCAGGCUAAUUAAGACACUGAGUCUUCUGACUUCUGAACAUCUAGACUGCAU